Molecule: ribosomal RNA, 201 nt
Filed under: uncultured bacterium
Lineage: Bacteria
Description: partial 16S ribosomal RNA
Rfam family: Bacterial small subunit ribosomal RNA
Source: RNAcentral
GCAGGCUGCAACUCGCCUGCAUGAAGUCGGAAUUGCUAGUAAUCGCGGAUCAGCAUGCCGCGGUGAAUACGUUCCCGGGCCUUGUACACACCGCCCGUCACACCAUGAGAGCCGGUAACACCCGAAGUCAAUAGUCUAACCGCAAGGAGGACAUUGCCGAAGGUGGGAUUGGUAAUUGGGGUGAAGUCGUAACAAGGUACC